AAAUUGAAGAGUUUGAUCAUGGCUCAGAUUGAACGCUGGCGGCAGGCCUAACACAUGCAAGUCGAGCGGUAGCACAGAGAGCUUGCUCUCGGGUGACGAGCGGCGGACGGGUGAGUAAUGUCUGGGAAACUGCCUGAUGGAGGGGGAUAACUACUGGAAACGGUAGCUAAUACCGCAUAAUGUCGCAAGACCAAAGUGGGGGACCUUCGGGCCUCAUGCCAUCAGAUGUGCCCAGAUGGGAUUAGCUAGUAGGUGGGGUAACGGCUCACCUAGGCGACGAUCCCUAGCUGGUCUGAGAGGAUGACCAGCCACACUGGAACUGAGACACGGUCCAGACUCCUACGGGAGGCAGCAGUGGGGAAUAUUGCACAAUGGGCGCAAGCCUGAUGCAGCCAUGCCGCGUGUGUGAAGAAGGCCUUCGGGUUGUAAAGCACUUUCAGCGGGGAGGAAGGCGUUAAGGUUAAUAACCUUGGCGAUUGACGUUACCCGCAGAAGAAGCACCGGCUAACUCCGUGCCAGCAGCCGCGGUAAUACGGAGGGUGCAAGCGUUAAUCGGAAUUACUGGGCGUAAAGCGCACGCAGGCGGUCUGUCAAGUCGGAUGUGAAAUCCCCGGGCUCAACCUGGGAACUGCAUUCGAAACUGGCAGGCUAGAGUCUUGUAGAGGGGGGUAGAAUUCCAGGUGUAGCGGUGAAAUGCGUAGAGAUCUGGAGGAAUACCGGUGGCGAAGGCGGCCCCCUGGACAAAGACUGACGCUCAGGUGCGAAAGCGUGGGGAGCAAACAGGAUUAGAUACCCUGGUAGUCCACGCCGUAAACGAUGUCGAUUUGGAGGUUGUGCCCUUGAGGCGUGGCUUCCGGAGCUAACGCGUUAAAUCGACCGCCUGGGGAGUACGGCCGCAAGGUUAAAACUCAAAUGAAUUGACGGGGGCCCGCACAAGCGGUGGAGCAUGUGGUUUAAUUCGAUGCAACGCGAAGAACCUUACCUGGUCUUGACAUCCACAGAACUUAGCAGAGAUGCUUUGGUGCCUUCGGGAACUGUGAGACAGGUGCUGCAUGGCUGUCGUCAGCUCGUGUUGUGAAAUGUUGGGUUAAGUCCCGCAACGAGCGCAACCCUUAUCCUUUGUUGCCAGCGGUUCGGCCGGGAACUCAAAGGAGACUGCCAGUGAUAAACUGGAGGAAGGUGGGGAUGACGUCAAGUCAUCAUGGCCCUUACGACCAGGGCUACACACGUGCUACAAUGGCAUAUACAAAGAGAAGCGACCUCGCGAGAGCAAGCGGACCUCAUAAAGUAUGUCGUAGUCCGGAUUGGAGUCUGCAACUCGACUCCAUGAAGUCGGAAUCGCUAGUAAUCGUAGAUCAGAAUGCUACGGUGAAUACGUUCCCGGGCCUUGUACACACCGCCCGUCACACCAUGGGAGUGGGUUGCAAAAGAAGUAGGUAGCUUAACCUUCGGGAGGGCGCUUACCACUUUGUGAUUCAUGACUGGGGUGAAGUCGUAACAAGGUAACCGUAGGGGAACCUGCGGUUGGAUCACCUCCUUA
This 1540-nucleotide ribosomal RNA is filed under the name Klebsiella pneumoniae. Its description in RNAcentral is "bacterial SSU rRNA". It matches the Rfam family "Bacterial small subunit ribosomal RNA". The record is from RNAcentral. RNAcentral also lists the same sequence under 3 other names. Lineage: Bacteria; Pseudomonadati; Pseudomonadota; Gammaproteobacteria; Enterobacterales; Enterobacteriaceae.